UAAACUUAACUUAUCAGGGGGGUUUUCGACCAUUAUAAAAACAACAAGGAGAAAAUGAUAUAUGUUUAUUACUAUAGGAGAGAAAUUGGCAAUCCCCAAAAUAUUGUAUAGUUUUUUUACCAACAUUUACAAUACAUUUUAUUUUUAUUUCUAAAAAUAAUCGGAUAAAGCACAAAUUAAUUAUCUUAACCCUCUAUCUUCUCAAUAUUUAAACUCGAGUAACCAGCAAAAGUUGUUCCAUAAUGUUUAAAAGUCAUUUAAGAUACUACAUCAUUCAUAUUUUGCAAUCAUCCAAUCGUAAAGUAUCCCUUGUAAUAACAAUAAAUAAAAAUACACAUGUAUAUGUCAUACUGUCACUGAACCGCAGAAUGAUUGUCGUACUUGCAAUGCAUGCAUUUUAGACUUUGUCUUUCUCUUAUUUAAAUGAUCAAUAAUUUUCCUUUGUCCUUUAAUUAGACGUCAACAGUUGAACUUGUGGGCAAGUAGGCUAUAUAUAUAGUAACUUUCUGGGGAUAUUCUGUCUUUUAAGGUAUUGUAAAUAUCAAAUGAGAUCACUGUCUUGAUCAUUCAGAUACUACAUAAAUUAUUGAAAUGUUAGACAAGUCAAAAGAAUUGAUUCACACACACACACACACACACACACCAUUUCGUCUUUACAUUUUCCCGAACGCGUUUAGUUUAUAUACCAAAUGCAUGUAUCUUACGCAGGGGCUUAGUAAUGAGAGCGCCCUUGACUUGUUUGAUUGAUAAAUUUUUUUUUUUUUAAAAAAAAGGUAACAACUGGUUUUUGCAAUUACCAGCUGUGCUAUAAAAGAAUAAAAUAAUAAUAUGCAAUUAUUAGAUAUAUAAACAAUCAAAUCUAAAAAAUGAUGACUAAUUAAUCAAAUAAAAAAUUUGCGAAUGAGCAUUGGUUUUAUGUAUAACGACAGUUGUUUCGGAUUUAAUGAGUAAUGCUAAACUAUUUCGAGUUAAUAGUUAAACAUUUCAUAAUUUAUGUUAGCAUUAAUUUCAUGUUUGAUGGUAAAUUUAUGGGAUUCAGUUGUAGUAGUUUGAUCUCAUUUGUACUAGGUUAUAGAUUUGCAUUACAUAGCUUUAAAC
This 1098-nucleotide long non-coding RNA is filed under the name Citrus x clementina. RNAcentral describes it as "Citrus clementina (C. clementina) long non-coding RNA (CCLE_LNC005801)". Lineage: Eukaryota; Viridiplantae; Streptophyta; Magnoliopsida; Sapindales; Rutaceae. The record is from RNAcentral.